RNAcentral lists this transfer RNA (72 nucleotides) under Camelus bactrianus (Bactrian camel). It matches the Rfam family "tRNA". Rfam says of the family: Transfer RNA (tRNA) molecules are approximately 80 nucleotides in length. Their secondary structure includes four short double-helical elements and three loops (D, anti-codon, and T loops). RNAcentral also lists the same sequence under 3 other names. Lineage: Eukaryota; Metazoa; Chordata; Mammalia; Artiodactyla; Camelidae. The record is from Rfam by way of RNAcentral.
AGAGAAAUAGUUCAGUGGUAGAGUGCCUGCUUAGCAUGCAGGAGCUCCUGGGUUCAAUCCCCAGUACCUCCA